Molecule: transfer RNA, 72 nt
Filed under: Camelus bactrianus (Bactrian camel)
Lineage: Eukaryota; Metazoa; Chordata; Mammalia; Artiodactyla; Camelidae
Also listed under: 1 other name
Rfam family: tRNA
About the family: Transfer RNA (tRNA) molecules are approximately 80 nucleotides in length. Their secondary structure includes four short double-helical elements and three loops (D, anti-codon, and T loops). Further hydrogen bonds mediate the characteristic L-shaped molecular structure. tRNAs have two regions of fundamental functional importance: the anti-codon, which is responsible for specific mRNA codon recognition, and the 3' end, to which the tRNAs corresponding amino acid is attached (by aminoacyl-tRNA synthetases). tRNAs cope with the degeneracy of the genetic code in two manners: having more than one tRNA (with a specific anti-codon) for a particular amino acid; and 'wobble' base-pairing, i.e. permitting non-standard base-pairing at the 3rd anti-codon position.
Source: Rfam by way of RNAcentral
AGGGGUAGAGCUCAGCGGUAGAGCGUGUGCUUAGCAUGCAUGAGGUCCUGGGUUCAAUCCCCAGCACCUCCA